UCUGUCUCAAAAAAAAAAAAAAAAAUUUAGUAAACCAUGCUAUAAACAGAUGUGCUGUCAUCCAGGAUUUGUUGUUCCAUUUACAGAGCACAGGCAGAGUAGAUUUAGCAUAAUUCUUAAGGGCCCUAGGAUUUUUGGAAUGGCAAAUGAUCUUUGGCUUCAACUUAAAGUCACCAGCUGCAUUAGCCCCUAACAAGAGAUUCAGCCUGUCAUUUGAAGCUUUGAAGCCAAGCAUUGACUUCUGCUCUCUCAUGAUCGGAGGUUUGAGGAGGGGAGGGCAGAAUGGCCUGUCAGUGGAUCAGACAGAACACAUACAACAUUUAUCGAUUAAGCUCACUGUUUUAUAUGGGCACAGUUCAUAGUACCCCAAAAUAAUUACAAUAGUAUUAUCAAAGAUCACUGAUUACAGAUCACCAUAACAGAUAGAAUAAUAAUCCAAAAGUUUGAAAUAGUACAAGUAUUACCAAAAUGUGACCCAGAGACAUGAACUGAGCACACACUUUUGGAAAAAUGCCACCAAUAGACUUGCUCAAUGAAGGGUUGCCACAAACCUUCAAUUUGUUAAAAAUGCAUUAUCUGUGAGGCACAAUAAAACAAAGUGUAAUAAAAUGAGGUCACCUGUGUAUCUUUUUUAUUUUUAUUAGCUGUAACUAGAAGUUAACAUUUUUCCUUCUUUCUUUCUUUUUCUUUCCUUCCUUCCUUCUUUCUCUUUCUUUCUUUACUUUUCUUU
RNAcentral lists this long non-coding RNA (730 nucleotides) under Homo sapiens (human). Its description in RNAcentral is "non-protein coding lnc-NKX2-3-2:1". The record is from RNAcentral. Lineage: Eukaryota; Metazoa; Chordata; Mammalia; Primates; Hominidae.